GCAGUAGCCGCGGGAAUACGUAGGUGGCAAGCGUUGUCCGGAAUUAUUGGGCGUAAAGGGCUCGCAGGCGGUUUCUUAAGUCUGAUGUGAAAGCCCCCGGCUCAACCGGGGAGGGUCAUUGGAAACUGGGAAACUUGAGUGCAGAAGAGGAGAGUGGAAUUCCACGUGUAGCGGUGAAAUGCGUAGAGAUGUGGAGGAACACCAGUGGCGAAGGCGACUCUCUGGUCUGUAACUGACGCUGAGGGGCGAAAGCGUGGGGAGCGGACAGGAUUAGAUACCCCCGUAGUCCCUGUCUCUUAUAC
RNAcentral lists this ribosomal RNA (302 nucleotides) under uncultured bacterium. RNAcentral describes it as "partial 16S ribosomal RNA". It matches the Rfam family "Bacterial small subunit ribosomal RNA", at positions 508 to 807 of the family's 1533-position model. The record is from RNAcentral.